RNAcentral lists this long non-coding RNA (985 nucleotides) under Oryctolagus cuniculus (rabbit). RNAcentral describes it as "lncRNA (ENSOCUG00000035049.1)". Lineage: Eukaryota; Metazoa; Chordata; Mammalia; Lagomorpha; Leporidae. The record is from RNAcentral.
GGCGACCCAGGGAGACCCAGGGUCCCCUGCUCCCUGGGGAUUCUGGGAAAUGUGGUUUACACGCUCAGCUUGCGUGUUUCUGACCAACUAAGGUAUUCGUCGAUGAGCUGGGAGCCGAAGAAGUCAGUAUUGCCAGUGCUUGGAGUAGCUUCAUCCAUUAAUAUUGAAAAAGGGCCUUGUGAGUGCCUCCUGUCGCCCUCCACCCCCCGCCCGGAGGCCUUGUCCAGCGCUUGGCCCCAGGUCUAGCCCUUCCGCGUGAUGGACAUUGCACCUGAGGAGUCUCGUCGCAAAUAAGCCCUCUUACAUGAUCUUAUUUCAAAUGUGUCAUCUGCUUGCUGUCAAGACCUUGACGGGAACACACGCACAAGCGGGCUCAGCUGAACACAGAGAUAAGCCUCGAGUGUUGUUUGGAGAAAUAUGCUCUGCGGCUUCGAGAAGAUUGAGGACACGCUGCAGAGUCUCGUGGUGCCUCCGCUGGUGCAACCUGCGUCUACCCAUUUACUAGAUCACAGGCAUGGACGGUCAUCCACUGUGGCCCAGGCUGUCUCAGGCUCUCGGGACAGGGCGAGCAAGACGCCACACUCCACUGGAGCAGACAGACACCAACCAGCAUCCCGCUACAGGCAGGAGGAUAGGAUCCACCCUUGGCCAACGUCUGGGGACCAGCGACAUUUGGUCCGCUGCCUUGUCAGCCGGAGAGCAUCCUUGUCCCGAGCUGUCUGUCACCCUUCCACAGACACGGAGGGGAGCAAGACUCUAAGAUUCCAGAGGCCCGGAUGGGAGUUUGAGCUACUGCCACUUCUGAUGUCCCUGCUGAUGCUUCAUGUGUUUCCACUUGGGACAUAUCACUGGCGCCUUGCCGAUACAUGUCUGUAUUUGGAGAGCACGACUGGAAUGACAGACAGCUGCAGUAUCACCGAGCACUUACGUCAGCAGUGACACACAGACCCCGACGUGUGUCCCUCAGACGUGGCGAUCCGAGCAG